This is a long non-coding RNA of Quercus lobata, 400 nucleotides long. RefSeq lists it as uncharacterized. Lineage: Eukaryota; Viridiplantae; Streptophyta; Magnoliopsida; Fagales; Fagaceae. The transcript has 3 exons. The record is from RefSeq and is a predicted model, not a curated record.
ACUCCUCUCUCUUCUCUAUUUCUCUACCCUCUCGUUCCCAAAAACCCAACACUGAAAAUCAAUCUUGCCAAGAAGCCAUCCCCCACGCUGUUUGGUCCGAAAUAGAAAGAAGACAUCAUUGAUCUUUCCAUGGUGCUACUCACAAGGACCGAUCUCCACCUUUGAGCGUUGACGACAGCCAUCAAAAUUGGGCAGAUUGCAUCAAAUGGUUGAAUUAGAACUUUGUUCCAUAAAAUUAGGAUCCGAAGACCCUCACACAUAUGAUGAAACCUUUGGAUUGGUGAUCUCUUCAAGCCUCACAAAACCUUGAUACAAUGCAAGGUUACACUUACGUCAUCAGUUGAAGGAGUGGUGUUCCUUUGCAAAGCAGCCAACAAAUAUAAAGCUAUCAACUUCAUUU